AACGAACGCUGGCGGCAUGCCUAACACAUGCAAGUCGAACGAGACCUCCGGGGCUUGUGGCGCGCGGCUGGUUGCGGCCUGGUAAGUUGCCCUUAGGUUCGGUACCCCUCCCCGAGAGGUGUCCUCAUACCGCUUGAUCUCUUCCGCCCAAAGAUUUAUCGCGUUGGGAUGGGCCCGCGUUGGAUUCGCUAGUUGGUAGGGUAAAAGCCUACCAAGGCGAGGAUGCAUAGCUGGUCGGGGAGGAUGAUCAGCCACACUGGGACUGAGACACGGCCCAGACUCCUAGGGGAGGCAGCAGUGGGGAAUAUAGGACGAUGGACGAAAGCGUGACCCAGCAAUGCCGCGUGAGUGAUGAAGGCCUUAGGGUUGUAAAGCUCCUUUACCCGGAAUGAUAAUGACGGUACCGGGAGAAUAAGCACCGGCUAACUACGUG
RNAcentral lists this ribosomal RNA (433 nucleotides) under uncultured bacterium. RNAcentral describes it as "partial 16S ribosomal RNA". It matches the Rfam family "Bacterial small subunit ribosomal RNA", at positions 29 to 507 of the family's 1533-position model. The record is from RNAcentral.